Molecule: long non-coding RNA, 901 nt
Organism: Rattus rattus (black rat)
Lineage: Eukaryota; Metazoa; Chordata; Mammalia; Rodentia; Muridae
Exons: 5
Source: RefSeq, a predicted model, not a curated record
AUGUGGUACAUCUACACAAUGGAAUAUUACUCAGCUAUCAAAAACAAUGACUUUAUGAAAUUGUAGGCAAAUGGUUGGAACUGGAAAAUAUCAUCCUGAGUGAGCUAACCCAAUCACAGAAAGACAUACAUGACCCAGAACCUCCAGGUUCGCCAAACAGCAGCAGGCCUCUCAGCAGGCAUCCACAGCAGCAGAUCCUACUCUCAAAAUUAAUCCCUCCCUGACAGAGUUGAAAGCCCUGGUCCACAAGGAGCCCGACAAGAAUUCAUUAUUCCUAGAAGAAAAGGCUGCCCCACCCUUACAGGCUGCAAGCAUAAAAUUGAGAGUUAUGCUCGCCUUUACUGACAUGGGUACCUGUAAGGGGUGUGAGAAGAGGUACUGCAAGGUGAGGACCCUCUUGUCUAUCUCUGAGUCCCCUGAGAAGAGCAGCAAGUCCGCUGCAUCUGAGACACCGCCAGAACCUGAAGGGACCGACCAGAUAAACAGUUCUCUGCACCCAAAUCCUGUGGGAGGGAGAGCUAAACCUUCAGAGAGGCAGACACGCCUGAGAAACCAGAAGAGACUACACUCUGCCCACAUCUCUGACUCCAGAGGAAAACACCAAACGCCAUCUGGAACCCUGGUGCACGGAAGCUCCCGGAAAGGGCAGCACAGAUCUUCCUGGUUGCUGCCCCUGUGGAGAGCUCAAAAGCAACACCCCACGAGCAAACUUGAGCCUGGGGACCACAGGAAGAGACAAGGAGCUGUAGAUACAAGCAUCACCAACAGAAUACAAGAGAUAGAAGAGAGAAUCUCAGGAGCAGAAGAUUCCAUAGAAAUCAUUGACUCAACUGUCAAAGAUAAUGGAAAACGGAAAAAGCUAUUGAUCCAAAACAUACAGGAAAUCCAGGAAUCAAUGUGA